CUACGGGCCGCUGCAGUGGGGAAUAUUGCACAAUGGAGGGGACUCUGAUGCAGCAACGCCGCGUGGAGGAUGACACAUUUCGGUGCGUAAACUCCUUUUAUAUAAGAAGAUAAUGACGGUAUUAUAUGAAUAAGCACCGGCUAACUCCGUGCCAGCAGCCGCGGUAAUACGGGGGGUGCAAGCGUUACUCGGAAUCACUGGGCGUAAAGAGCAUGUAGGCUGGUUUGUAAGUUGGAAGUGAAAUCCUAUGGCUUAACCAUAGAACUGCUUCCAAAACUACUUACCUAGAGUAUGGGAGAGGUAGAUGGAAUUUCUGGUGUAGGGGUAAAAUCCGUAGAGAUCAGAAGGAAUACCGAUUGCGAAGGCGAUCUACUGGAACAUUACUGACGCUCAGAUGCGAAAGCGUGGGGAGCAAACAGGAUUAGAUACCCUCGUAGUC
Molecule: ribosomal RNA, 439 nt
Filed under: uncultured bacterium
Lineage: Bacteria
Description: partial 16S ribosomal RNA
Rfam family: Bacterial small subunit ribosomal RNA
Source: RNAcentral